GGUGAGUACGUGAGGACAGAGAAGCCCCAGACACCGCAGAUGGGAGUGUAAACUGGGACAGCAACUAUGGGAACCAGCAUGGAGGUUUCCUUAAAAAAACUCGGAACGGAGCUUGUGGAGAUGGCUCCGUGGAAAGAACAGUUGCUGAGUGACCACGGGGACCCAAGUUCAGAUCCUCAGCACCCAAGAGAAAAAUCCAGCAUGAUUACGCACGCCUGUAGCCCCACACUGGGUCGUUAUGGCGACAGGAUUGCUGGGGCUUACUGGGCGACCAGCUUUGCCGAAAAGUCUCCAGGUGAAGAUCCAGGUUCAGUAAGAGACGCCACCUCAGGAGGACAAGACAGAAAGUGGUGGAAAGGAACACCUGAUGUCCUCCUCUAGAUUCUGCAUGUGCCUGCAAAAGCAAGGGCGCACGCACCCACCCAGAGGACCUAUAUGGCUCACCCCAUGGUAACUCCAGUUCCAGGGGAUACGACGUCUUUCUCUGGCCUCCACAGCAAUGCACACAGAUGAUGCGCAGACAUAGAAUGCAGGUGUUCCCGCAAUGUUCCACAUCAUCGCACCCUAAAAGCAACAGGAGUCUCCGGUGCUGUGAGCUCACCUGCCCUUUUCUCUAUACGCCGAUGGGUUUAGGUACUCUAUGAGAGUGGUAGAAAGCUGACUGAUCCAACGGCUAACUGCAACCAACCCCGGAGCAGCCAUUGGCUCACCAGCGGAUCACUGCACGAGCCUUGUGGUAGGUCUGCCUGCAGUUGGUCUCAUACCGUGGAAGUCAGGAAGCAAGAACGGGAAAGGCUAGAAAGGAAAAACGACCCAAAAGGAGUGGGGAGGAGGAUGAGUACGAACCCAGCUGAUGCAGAUAUCGACAUAACCAUUAUGAGGGUAAAUAAAACUGCGGUUUACGCUAUGCAGCGAGAUGCUCUCCGAAUACUUCCGUCUCAAGGAAGUUUUUAUUUCACCAUAGAAGAAAAAUGUUUUCAUAUUCUCUCCCGCCGCUUAGACCCAGAACCCAGCAAGGCCCUGUGCCCCCGAGAGCCAUAAUAUUAUUUGUUAACAUUUUUAUGAUGCCAAAUGGUCUGGAGGAGAACCGGCGCCAUUCUUUAGCUGGGAAACCAUAUGGCACGGAGAGUAAUAAAUAAGGUAUUGUGAUAGUUAAUGAACCUAAUUGCCAGCAAAGGCUUUAACACAGAGCCUGUGCUGCUGAGAAUUUAGCACCGCAUUAGGGAUGCCGCCGAGCUCCCCUGACUUCUGAGGCUUAAUUUAAGUUCUAUAUUGCAAACUCCAGAAAAUAAUUCCAAACCCUCCUGCUGGAAAAGCAACCUGCUGGUAGACUGUGAUUAUGCCGAAUUACUAAAAUCGCAAUCAAUUUUAUACACACAGUUAACCCUUGCUAGGGAUGCUCCUGGAGUGGUGAGGCAUCAGGACCACAGCCUGUUCUAUUCGUGGCUCUGGUCCAAGGAGCAGAGUCAGGAAAGGUGCGGCACGUGACUGGGGUCGGGUCGGUUUAUUAAGCUAAGAAGGGAAGGAGGGGAGCGGGCGAGAGGAAAUUCGAACAUCAUCCUAGCCUUCUGGACCUCUCUAAUCCUGCGCUAUGGGGAGAGGAGACAAGUAGAGCUCUUGGCAAAAGGGUCUGUGCUCUCUCACCAGUCCUAGGCAGCCAGAACCCCCCUCGCAGGGGAAGAACAGAGCCAUCGCUGCUUUUAUUCCAUAAGUCAAGGUUAUUAACUAGAGAGGAUCGCGUUGUAACCUUGCUUUGUCUAAGAUCUAAAUGCUGCGCAGAUGCCGCUGAACUUUCCAGGCAUCUCCAAGGGUCCCUGGGAGAGCAGAGCUCACUGCUGCCAGAGAGGGAGGAACUGGGGCAAAUGUCUUUUUCCCUGGCUCAGUUUUCCAACCCUGGAUAAGUGCAAGAAGUGGUCAGCAGCAGGGAAGGGCUCCCGGGAUCAGACAGAGCUGGGUGUGGCUCCGAGAGGAGAGAAAGCUUCAGGGCCGUGGCUCUCCCGAACAGUUCUGAUUUCCGUGUGUCUCUCCUGUACAAGGAAGGUGUUGCGUGGUGAUGCCUCAGCCUUCUGCCUUAGAGAGAUUAGAAAUGGUUUUCCUCCUCUUCUUCCUCUUUUUGUUCCUUCUCUCCUUGGCACCAGGGAUUAAAUCUAACAGCCCCGUGUU
Non-coding RNA from Rattus norvegicus (Norway rat), 2163 nucleotides. NCBI's taxonomy places the organism in Eukaryota, Metazoa, Chordata, Mammalia, Rodentia, Muridae. The record is from RefSeq and is a predicted model, not a curated record.